AUGGUCUGGAAUUUUGGCGGCCAUGUGAGAAUUCUGCCAACCACAGCCUGCCAGAGGUUUUUUGUUUUGUUUUGUUUUGUUUUGGGAAGAAAAAAUGUUUUUCAAACCUGUCACUUAAACUACUUAAUUCCUACCUUAGUAUCCAUGUUUUCUCUUUUUUUUUUUAACACAGGAAAUGCAUGUCUUCCAAACUGCAUCACUUUUCUAGCAAUUUAUUUUGUGCCUUGGUUUGUUUUGCCAUCAAAUAGGCAUAAUGAUGGUCCCUGCUUACAGACUUGUGUGCACCAAACUAAGGUGGUACAUGUGCUGCCUUUACCACAGAGCCUGGCACACAAGAAGCCCUCAAUAACUCCACGUAACCAAGGUGACUUCCAUGGUUGGUCAAAAAGGAAAAAAAGAGAAGCAGUAGAAGAAGCCACGAAGCUACCUGGGAUGGUAAUGUAAGGCUGUCCCAAGGACCUAAUUGGUCAUUCUCAGGAUGCAAACCACCCUUGGAAACGCAGCAGGUCAGCAGUGAGAUGUAGCCCAUGGCAGGGCACAGGUGAAAUGCUUAGCUAAGUGGCAUGGCAGACCGUGUGAAAAAACAACAACAAAAAAAACAACAGAUUUUUUUAAACCAACUUUGCUGCCCAUACCCUUCUUUUACCCAGGCAGAGAUCUGAGGAAAACCCAAACAAAUUCAGAGAAAUAUAGACAAACUAGCCAGUCUACUCAAUACCGGAAGAGGCAGAGGUGUGUGCAGAGGUGGUCAAAGAGGGACACAAAUCAAAAUCUGUAGAACACAGAAAUAGGAUGAAAGAUACAUGAAAAUAGCAGAGAGGUGUGUUUCUUGAACUGUCCUACCUCUCCAUAACUUUGUAUCUCUAUCAGACACAACACCAAUAUAGCUUUACAAAUAUUGUCCUGUGGGAAACUUGAUUAUUCCGCUUCGAUUCCGGGAUAUGUAAGUAUACAUUACACAUUUACACCAGAGUCAGAAACUCUCCAUCCAAAGCUCCACCAUAACAGUUUAAAUUAACAGAGCCACUGAUACUCUUUAUGAUAUGCGGGGUAUGUGAAUGUGUGCUUAGUAAUUGUAUCACAUCCCUCAAACAAACCCCACUAUCUUGGAUUUGGU
Molecule: long non-coding RNA, 1117 nt
Filed under: Felis catus (domestic cat)
Lineage: Eukaryota; Metazoa; Chordata; Mammalia; Carnivora; Felidae
Description: lncRNA (ENSFCAG00000047180.1)
Source: RNAcentral